GAUGAAGAACGUAGCGAAAUGCGAUAAGUAAUGUGAAUUGCAGAGUUCAGUGAAUCAUCGAAUCUUUGAACGCACAUUGCGCCCGUUAGUAUUCUGACGGGCAUGCCUGUCCGAGCGUCAUUUAAACCCUUAAGCCCGGCUUGUCGUUGAGUCCCACCGGCGGCGACGUCGGUGGAUUCGAAAGAUAGUGGCCGAGUCCCCGGACCCUGGAUGCAGCGAGCUUUCUCCAGCACGCAUCUCGGCGGUCGACGGGGAUCUUGGUCUCCACCUCUGAACAAUGUUCACCUCUGGUUGACCUCGGAUCAGGUAGGGAUACCCGCUGAACUUAAGCAUAUCAAUAAGCGGAGGA
This 349-nucleotide unclassified non-coding RNA is filed under the name soil metagenome. RNAcentral's name for it is "partial contains 5.8S ribosomal RNA, internal transcribed spacer 2, and large subunit ribosomal RNA". The stretch from base 1 to 120 matches the Rfam family "5.8S ribosomal RNA", at positions 35 to 154 of the family's 154-position model. The record is from RNAcentral.